UACUUCUUUAACCUCCCCCCCCCCCAAAUUAUUUACACUGCACAAAGUUUAUCUAGGUAAUUAGCAAAAGAAAUAAUCAAAUAUGCCAAUUGUACUGAUCUGAUUGGUUUACUUUAUCCCUCAUUUCAAAAUCGUUCUCUCCCUCUUCUCUCUACUCUCUUUUUCUUGAAACCCUAGAUCUUCCGCCGAUUCACCUCUCAUCUCCUCUUCUCUCUACUCUCUUUUUCUUGAAACCCUAGAUCUUCCGCCGAUUCACCUCUCACCUCCAAGCCGGAACGCUCACCCCACCGCACAACUUCACCACUAAAAUGCAUCGAUACCUUUUUCAAACUCGUCACUGCCACCGAAUCUGCAACGAUCUGCAACAAUCACCUCGCCAAACAUCUGAAUUUAAUAGUGAAAAGCAAAAACUCAUCGCACGUGUCUUCCUAGACAAAGCCAUCAUAAAUCAAUGAUUUUUCAAAAGCUCAACUCUGCUGAAGGAAUGUCAUGUACUGAGACACGCAUACUACGAUACUGCUAUCGGUGUUUCCUAACAAAUUCUAGCUCUUUUUUAAGAACACCAAAUUCUUGAAAGUUCCAUAAAUCAAAGGCAUGCCACUGGAAGUGAUCAUUGAGUUCUUCUCCAUUGGAGCAAAACAGGCUGAGGCAGCCAAUCAUAACUGACUGAAGGAUGGAAGCCAUUAGUUUGUGAUGAUGGAUGUAAGCAUAAAAGGAGGUGUAGCUGGUGGAAACAUUCUGAGGAAAAAGAUUAGAGAAGGAACUUCUUAGCUUACUUCCUCCAUACAUGUCGAAUGGAAUUAGAGUCACACCUCCUCCAUACGAUGUCGAUACUACAUGGCUCAAAGCAAAGAUGAUUGGAAAUGUAAGUUCCAUGUCACCUUGAUGAUAAAUAUUCAAGGUUCUGUUUUUCUAAACAAUUUAUAUUCAAGGUUCCUUCCUUUACUAACAUUUGAAAGUAUUAUAUAUUCUCAUUUGAUAAUAUUUCAGGUCAUUCUUUUUUGGAUUAUUCUUUUAUCUUUUUACUUCCUCUACUUGAAAUAGUUGAGAUGAUAUUCAUUGAUGCAGACAAUGGGUUUGUUGUUGUAUGCUUUUUUUAUGAAGAGAUAAAUGUGAAGCCCUUAAAUCUUAAUCUAUUUUAUCCGUGCAUAGUAUUUAUUUAAAUCAUACAGACAAUGGGUUUGUUGUUGUAUGCUUUGUUUAUGAAGAGAUAAAUGUGAAGCCCUUAAAUCUUAAUGUAUUUUAUCCGUGCAUAGUAUUUAUUUGAAUCAUACAAAAUGAUUUUGGCUUUUUCAAUUAAGAAUGAAGUUGAUCCCAUGAGACGAAUUGUAGAGAAAUCAAGAACUGUGAAAGAUGCAUCUGAUAGAACUAAACUACGACAAUUGU
Vicia villosa (hairy vetch) is the source of this 1386-nucleotide long non-coding RNA. RefSeq lists it as uncharacterized. NCBI's taxonomy places the organism in Eukaryota, Viridiplantae, Streptophyta, Magnoliopsida, Fabales, Fabaceae. The transcript is spliced from 5 exons. The record is from RefSeq and is a predicted model, not a curated record.